GAUGAACGCUGGCGGCGUGCCUAAUACAUGCAAGUCGAGCGAACAGACGAGGAGCUUGCUCCUCUGACGUUAGCGGCGGACGGGUGAGUAACACGUGGAUAACCUACCUAUAAGACUGGGAUAACUUCGGGAAACCGGAGCUAAUACCGGAUAAUAUAUUGAACCGCAUGGUUCACUAGUGAAAGACGGUUUUGCUGUCACUUAUAGAUGGAUCCGCGCCGAAUUAGCUAGUUGGUAAGGUAACGGCUUACCAAGGCGACGAUGCGUAGCCGACCUGAGAGGGUACUCAGCCACACUGGAACUGAGACACGGUCCAGACUCCUACGGGAGGCAGCAGUAGGGAGUCUGCCGCAAUGGGCGAAAGCCUGACGGAGCAACGCCGCGUGAGUGAUGAAGGUCUUCGGAUCGUAAAACUCUGUUAUUAGGGAAGAACAAAUGUGUAAGUAACUAUGCAAGUCUUGACGGUACCUAAUCAGAAAGCCACGGCUAACUACGU
This 496-nucleotide ribosomal RNA is filed under the name uncultured bacterium. Its description in RNAcentral is "partial 16S ribosomal RNA". It matches the Rfam family "Bacterial small subunit ribosomal RNA", at positions 28 to 506 of the family's 1533-position model. The record is from RNAcentral.